AAGCUAAGCAAACAAUUAAGUGGCGAGGAUUGGAAUUAGAACAACUUAAACACAUUAUGUUGGGCAAUAGGGUCUAUAUCUGGUUCGAUGAUGGAAGAACAGGAGAAUAGAUUUUUGGUUAUGGUCAUUCGUGACUUGCUGAAUUUAUGCGAAAUCACGAAAGGGAAGGAUAACAAAGCUGUCAUCGCAAGUAACAUUAUGUAUAUUGUUGGACAGUACCCGAGGUUUCUAAGAGCUCACUAGAAGUUCCUAAAAACUAUUGUGAACAAAUUGUUUGAGUUCAUGCAUGAGACACAUCCUGGUGUUCAGGAUAUGGCCUGUGACACAUUCUUGAAGAUUGUUCAGAAGUGCAA
Molecule: long non-coding RNA, 353 nt
Organism: Humulus lupulus (European hop)
Lineage: Eukaryota; Viridiplantae; Streptophyta; Magnoliopsida; Rosales; Cannabaceae
Exons: 4
Source: RefSeq, a predicted model, not a curated record